Panthera uncia (snow leopard) is the source of this 3103-nucleotide long non-coding RNA. RefSeq lists it as uncharacterized. The record is from RefSeq and is a predicted model, not a curated record. The transcript has 5 exons. Lineage: Eukaryota; Metazoa; Chordata; Mammalia; Carnivora; Felidae.
CCGCGGGGUCUGUGCGGAAGUGACGCCAAGCCCGUUGGCGUAACAAAGCUGAGCGCGGGAGGCGCUGCUGGCUGACGGCCCUGGGCACGUGCUCCCGGCAGGCUCUGCGCGGCUGCGCACCUUCCACUGCAGAGAGGAUCCCUGGCCCGAGGUGGGCGCCCGAGGCGGCGUUUGAGGGCCCACGAUACACACAUAUGCAAGAUAACCUAAGAUCGCGAAGGAGCCAAGCGACGCUUGCCCGGUUCUCCAGCAGCGAGCGGUCGUGCGUGUGUGCCAGGCUUCCUCCUCCUGGCUCCCCAGCCCGCAGGACAAAGGCUGCGGUGUCGGCCACGCCGCUUAGGGAGACAGCAGUGGCCACGCAACCGGAGAUCCCAGCAGUAGAAAGCGUGGGCAGUGGUCACCUCGCUAGACCCGGGUGGUCAGCACAGGAGAGUCGAGGUUUACAAAGAAAUUCAAGAGGUAAACCAAGUUACAAAAAGGAGGAGGAAGAAGAAGAGGGCAGAAGGCAAUCUUAAAAAUUAUCUCAAAACAUCGAAGCUCACUCAACAGUCACUUCCUGUACAAAGGCCUUCCCAGGUUGGUGUAUCUAAACAGCGCCCCUGUCCUAUGUCUUUUAUUUACCAGCGGUCUCCACCACUAAUUGUAACACAGGGAGGUCAGGGACUUGCCCUGUGGAGUUUACUACUAUGUAUCUAGCACCUGGAAGAGCCUGACGUGUAAUAAAUAUUUAUUGUUGAAUGAAUGAAUGAAUGAAUGAAUGCACAUCUUUCCUAUCCUUAAAGGAGACCUCCCCCCUCAGUGGAAUCACUAAUCAUUGUAAUGUGCAGACAAUCAUGAAGUUACUGAAUUUUAACUCAGAGCUGAGUUUUACAUGGUUUCACUUCCCUGCCCCUUUGCUCACCUGUGUGAGCAACCAGUUGGAACAACCAGUUGGAAUUAGAGCAGCUAGCCGGCCUCCAUCUGGGGGGGAUGCAGGUUCCACAUGGAAUCUACUUGCCUUCCAUGAAUUGACUCCCUCCGGGUUCAGACCCAGUCACAGCCAUCUGAACAUCCCUGCAUUCCACAUCUGCUUAACUGGCACCCCAAGAAAACCACCCUCCUCUGGGUCUCAGGAUUGCUUGUGUCCACCUUUCUCUAGUCGAGGCCUUCAGUGGUCACACCUCUGCAUAUUCUCAUCCAUUUAACCCCCUCCAUGUCUUUUAUGCCAGGGCAGAGGUCAUUUUGGCCUCUAUAACCAUGGAGGAGAUAUCGAUGGGGCCAGCUUCGCCUCUCCCUGGGUGUGUGACUGGGUCAGUGUGCCUGGAGUGGGGCUAAGGUGUAGUUGGGGGAGGUCUUCAUUCUGCAAACGUCUCUCACACAUGGAACAUACUUUUUGCAGCUCCCAGAGGGAGACAGGCCCCUGUUCUGGGAGAAACGGAGCCUAGCAGCUCAGGGGAGAGCACAGCCCUGGCCCAGUACCUGACUCCAGACAGAAGCAGUACUCCAGGGGGCCCAGGGCCGAGGAUGUGUCGCAGAAGAUGGCGAAGCUUGUCAGAACGGUACCCUCCUCCGGAGUGAUGGUGCAGCCUGCUCUCCAUCAACUCCGUGGCCCUGGGCACUAGGAGGCUAAUCUCUGUGGACUGUGUCACCCACAUUCCUGUGCCGGCUGGCUUCUGCUGGCGUCCAGCAAUGGGAGGCAUUGGCUGGGGAUCAGAAGGGUGCAAGGAUGCCACUGCAGAAGGAUGCUUCUGGGGAAAUGAGCCGCCCUUCACCCUGACCCUGAGCAGACCUGCAGGGUCUGUCUGCUUCUUCGGCACCAGCGACCUGCACUGAGGACAGGCAGGCAUAUAGUAGGGGAGGGGGGCGGGGAUAUACAGCUCUGCCUUGGGGAGCAUCCAGGACAGCUUCCUGUCCCUGGUGUACCUCUCAUACCACGUGGAAACAACUGUCCUAAACUGUAUGUCCCUGUGGGUACACUAGGCAUCCAGCGGGCCGUUCUCUCCAUGUGGGAGGACACACGCCAUCUCCUGCUUUAUGAUACUGGCUCAGUAAGUCUCUAUCCCUCGCCCUUCAUCUGUGUUGAUCGAUGUUUACCCAUCAGUCACCUUGCUCCCCCUGCCCCGAAGUUUGGUAGUCAUUCACGGGAUGUGACCUAGGGUCAGGCCAUCAGCUCAACCACCCAAACUGUAUACCUGUAUCCUCUGUGAAUUCAGGUAGUGAAAACUAAUAUUCCAAAGAAUGUCCUGAGCACCUACCAGUGGAUAUCAAAAGGCUCUACAUUUUAUAUGACUUGACCCAGUUAUUCCAUUUCUUGAAAUUUAUUUUUUAUUCUCAAAACUUACUUCUGAAGGUAACCACAGAUGCAGAUAAAGGCAGAACUACAAGGAUGUUCAUUACAAUGUUGUUUAUAUACGGGCAAAUAAUUCCGAAUAACCUACGUGUCCAAAAACAGGGUACCAGUAAAUAAGUGACCAUACAUCAACUUUGACAGUCUAUUCUGCACUUACUCUCUUAUGAAAUCAAGAUAGAGAAGAUACCAUGGCAUUAAAAUAUGGAGGAUGUAUUGUUCAAAGAAAAAAAAGCUCAUAAAAAUAGUAAGUGUGAUAUGGAUGGCAUUCAUUUCCAAAAGAAUGUGUACGUAGCUAGGAUGUAUCCCUAUAAAGCAGGACAACCAUUUCUAAGAAGUGGGUACUGGUGCUGUCCUCGUGGUUUGUCAGAAAAUGCCUCCUCGCUUCUAGACUCUCCCAGUGACAUACCCAGCAAGGGCAAGGAGGUGACAGGAGGGAUCCACCCAAAAGGGAGGAGUUGUUUUGUUUUGUUUUGCUUUGUUUUUAGCACUGAUGUUGUUUGUGGUGAAAAUAAAGCCUAUUGACUUUUAGGGUUAAUUCUCUCAAUGCAUCUCUGUGUUGCUGCCUUUAGGGCUCCCUCUGCCUUGGUUUGCCACUGCUUUCCCCCAACCCCACCCCACCGCCCCCACCCCACACCCACCACCUCCCAUUUCCAUGGGAUUUUCAAUCUCUGGCACAUGCAAAGCACACAAAAUGUCAAGGAUAAGUAAUGCCUGUGUGAAGAUUUAAAAAAAAAAAAAAAAAAAGCAAAGCUGACCUCUAUCCAUUACUUUGUG